CAACGUGUUCCGGGGUCGGUGGAAGUCCGAACCGGCGGUCACAGUCCGCGAACCGGACGACCACGUCCCUGCGGGCGCCCAGCGCCCGCACCGACGGGUCGUCCGGCCGAACCGGUGGAACUCCGGUACCGACAGUCACAGUCUGGAUGGAAGGCAACACGUUC
This 164-nucleotide non-coding RNA is filed under the name Kocuria rosea subsp. polaris. RNAcentral's name for it is "Kocuria polaris FMN sequence". It matches the Rfam family "FMN riboswitch aptamer (RFN element)". From Rfam's summary of the family: The RFN element is a highly conserved domain that is found frequently in the 5'-untranslated regions of prokaryotic mRNAs that encode for flavin mononucleotide (FMN) biosynthesis and transport proteins. This element is a metabolite-dependent riboswitch that directly binds FMN in the absence of proteins. Lineage: Bacteria; Bacillati; Actinomycetota; Actinomycetes; Micrococcales; Micrococcaceae. The record is from RNAcentral.